This 465-nucleotide ribosomal RNA is filed under the name Vreelandella stevensii. RNAcentral describes it as "partial 16S ribosomal RNA". It matches the Rfam family "Bacterial small subunit ribosomal RNA", at positions 338 to 795 of the family's 1533-position model. Lineage: Bacteria; Pseudomonadati; Pseudomonadota; Gammaproteobacteria; Oceanospirillales; Halomonadaceae. The record is from RNAcentral.
CCUACGGGAGGCAGCAGUGGGGAAUAUUGGACAAUGGGGGCAACCCUGAUCCAGCCAUGCCGCGUGUGUGAAGAAGGCCCUCGGGUUGUAAAGCACUUUCAGUGAGGAAGAACGCCUGGUGGUUAAUACCCAUCAGGAAAGACAUCACUCACAGAAGAAGCACCGGCUAACUCCGUGCCAGCAGCCGCGGUAAUACGGAGGGUGCGAGCGUUAAUCGGAAUUACUGGGCGUAAAGCGCGCGUAGGUGGCUUGAUAAGCCGGUUGUGAAAGCCCCGGGCUCAACCUGGGAACGGCAUCCGGAACUGUCAAGCUAGAGUGCAGGAGAGGAAGGUAGAAUUCCCGGUGUAGCGGUGAAAUGCGUAGAAAUCGGGAGGAAUACCAGUGGCGAAGGCGGCCUUCUGGACUGACACUGACACUGAGGUGCGAAAGCGUGGGUAGCAAACAGGAUUAGAUACCCUGGUAGUC